RNAcentral lists this ribosomal RNA (387 nucleotides) under uncultured bacterium. RNAcentral's name for it is "bacterial SSU rRNA". It matches the Rfam family "Bacterial small subunit ribosomal RNA", at positions 28 to 417 of the family's 1533-position model. The record is from RNAcentral.
GUUGAACGCUGGCGGCAUGCCUUACACAUGCAAGUCGAACGGCAGCACGGGAGCAAUCCUGGUGGCGAGUGGCGAACGGGUGAGUAAUAUAUCGGAACGUGCCCAGUGAUGGGGGAUAGCCCGGCGAAAGCCGGAUUAAUACCGCAUACGACCUACGGGUGAAAGCAGGGGAUCGCAAGACCUUGCGUCAUUGGAGCGGCCGAUAUCAGAUUAGCUUGUUGGNGGGGUAAAAGCCUACCAAGGCGACGAUCUGUAGCUGGUCUGAGAGGACGACCAGCCACACUGGGACUGAGACACGGCCCAGACUCCUACGGGAGGCAGCAGUGGGGAAUUUUGGACAAUGGGCGCAAGCCUGAUCCAGCCAUGCCGCGUGCGGGAAGAAGGCCU